GAUGAACGCUGACAGAAUGCUUAACACAUGCAAGUCAACUUGAACUUCGGUUUGGGUGGCGGACGGGUGAGUAACGCGUAAAGAACUUGCCUCACAGCUGGGACAACAUUUGGAAACGAAUGCUAAUACCUGAUAUUAUGAUUUUAGGGCAUCCUAGAAUUAUGAAAGCUAUAUGCGCUGUGAGAGAGCUUUGCGUCCCAUUAGCUAGUUGGAGAGGUAACGGCUCACCAAGGCGAUGAUGGGUAGCCGGCCUGAGAGGGUGAACGGCCACAAGGGGACUGAGACACGGCCCUUACUCCUACGGGAGGCAGCAGUGGGGAAUAUUGGACAAUGGACCAAGAGUCUGAUCCAGCAAUUCUGUGUGCACGAUGAAGUUUUUCGGAAUGUAAAGUGCUUUCAGUUGGGAAGAAAAAAAUGACGGUACCAACAGAAGAAGUGACGGCUAAAUACGUG
This 453-nucleotide ribosomal RNA is filed under the name uncultured bacterium. Its description in RNAcentral is "partial 16S ribosomal RNA". It matches the Rfam family "Bacterial small subunit ribosomal RNA", at positions 28 to 507 of the family's 1533-position model. The record is from RNAcentral.